Molecule: small nucleolar RNA, 79 nt
Organism: Planococcus citri (citrus mealybug)
Lineage: Eukaryota; Metazoa; Arthropoda; Insecta; Hemiptera; Pseudococcidae
Source: RefSeq, a predicted model, not a curated record
UCUCACGAUGAUGAUAUUUUUUCCACCUUUAAUGAUAUUGAUGAUUUGGAUUUUAACAUGCACUACCAUCUGAGUGUGU